GAUGAACGCUGGCGGCGUGCCUAAUACAUGCAAGUCGAGCGAACAGACGAGGAGCUUGCUCCUCUGACGUUAGCGGCGGACGGGUGAGUAACACGUGGAUAACCUACCUAUAAGACUGGGAUAACUUCGGGAAACCGGAGCUAAUACCGGAUAAUAUAUUGCACCGCAUGGUUCAAUAGUGAAAGACGGUUUUGCUGUCACUUAUCGAUGGAUCCGCGCCGCAUUAGCUAGUUGGUAAGGUAACGGCUUACCAAGGCAACGAUGCGUAGCCGACCUGAGAGGGUGAUCGGCCACACUGGAACUGAGACACGGUCCAGACUCCUACGGGAGGCAGCAGUAGGGAAUCUGCCGCAGUGGGCGAAAGCCUGACGGAGCAACGCCGCGUGAGUGAUGAAGGUCUUCGGAUCGUAAAACUCUGUUAUUAGGGAAGAACAAAUGUGUAAGUAACUAUGCACGUCUUGACGGUACCUAAUCAGAAAGCCACGGCUAACUACGUG
RNAcentral lists this ribosomal RNA (497 nucleotides) under uncultured bacterium. Its description in RNAcentral is "partial 16S ribosomal RNA". It matches the Rfam family "Bacterial small subunit ribosomal RNA", at positions 28 to 507 of the family's 1533-position model. The record is from RNAcentral.